This 1741-nucleotide long non-coding RNA is filed under the name Nicotiana benthamiana. RNAcentral's name for it is "long non-coding RNA (NBEN_LNC027562)". Lineage: Eukaryota; Viridiplantae; Streptophyta; Magnoliopsida; Solanales; Solanaceae. The record is from RNAcentral.
AUUACGUACUCAUACUCCCACCACCCUAAUAUGAUAUUUUCUGUGCAGUUGCAAAAGCUGAAUGAUCUGAUGCAGAAAUCCGAGAAAGAAGGUGGACAGUAUUGUUCAAUUGGGGUUGAUCAGGAGUCGUAUAACAGGCACGAUAAUACUAUUAAGUCUAAGGAAAUGGAUGGGAAACCAAGUUUGUCUUUUGACUUAUCAGAGCAUGGAGUUAAUGGUGUAAUUUCAGAUGAUGACAGUAGUAUAAAAGCUGAUUAUUUCGGCUUGGAUGAAGAAUCUGAUCAUCUACUGAAAAUGGUAGAAGCAGGGGAUAGUUCUUUAACUUCCCCUGAAAACUGGGGUACCCUAGAGGAUGAUGGUCUCUUGGACCAGCAGCCUAAUAGUUGUAAUUAUGAUCAGUGGUGGGAUUUUUGGUCUUGAUCCAUAAUUAUUAUUGCACCAUAGACUAAAUAUACCCAUCUAAAUGUUGGCUUUGAGGGGAAAGUUUAUAACAUAUGAUCAGAUGCCAGCGACUGUACAUUUGAGCACCUCAACGUCCACCAAUCUGUCCUUGAUUUCACACCAUAAGUGGCUGAGUGCCUCAGCUUAGGGUCAUAGCACUGCUCAAAAUUUGAGGAUGAUGGUCUCUUGGAUCAGCAGCCUAAUAGUUGUAAUUAUGAUCAGUGGUGGGAUUUUUGGUCUUGAUCCAUAAUUAUUAUUGCACCAUAGACUAAAUAUACCCAUCUAAAUGUUGGCUUUGAGGGGAAAGUUUAUAACAUAUGAUCAGAUGCCAGCGACUGUACAUUUGAGCACCUCAACGUCCACCAAUCUGUCCUUGAUUUCACACCAUAAGUGGCUGAGUGCCUCAGCUUAGGGUCAUAGCACUGCUCAAAAUUGAAUGCUUUUACCAUAAUAGAGGCUUUGCUAUCAGAAGCCCUUAUCCACCGGAAAUUUGUAGUCUCUCUCUCAGUCUUGUACUAGUAUUAGCAGUGGAUCUCAAUAGUGGUUUUAGUAGAUUGUUUGUCUUGAAAUAUGCUAGUAAUAAUAAAUAAUUAUGGCACCCUAAUAAAUGAGAAGAAAGUCCAGCAGCUCGUAUUCAAAGAUAACAAAGAAAGUCAGCAAGCAAUAAAAAGAUUUUCAACUGAAAUCUGCUAUUAUUAGUGAUGUGUUAUUGCAAUUAGUCACCAACUCUUAAUUUUUGUCAGUUCCAACCUGCAUAAUAAAGUUGGUACUGCAGCAUACAUGAAGCCUGGAGAAAUCCUGCAGUAUAAUUUGUGAGGAUGUUGCUAAUUAUUACCAGUAUAGAUUUGGGGGCUAAAUAGCUAAGUGGCUUACGUUUCAAUUAGUAUUGUUUAUGUAGCUAAGUUUGGGUUAUCUCAGGACUCUUCUUCCAUAUAAUACCGUACCAGUAGAAAGAGCAGUUUAAGGGUGUGUUUGGUACGAUAUUUUUUAAUUUUUUCAUGUUUGGUUGGCUUAAAUAUUUUGAAAAAUAUUUUUUUUAUGAACUUAUAUUCCUUCAAUUGGAGGAAAAUAUUUCCCUUAUUAAGAGAAAGGAAAAUAUUUUUCAAAACUCUUUCUCAACCUUUUCCACCCUCACCAACCCACCCCAUCUCAGUCGCGUAGGGCGACCGGGCCAGGCCGAGUCAGAAAGGCUUUGAUGACUCAAGGUUCGCUAUAUGACCUUGAGGAGCCUGUCGGGCUGAAGUGAAGAACGGUCGAGGCAGAAAAGUACCCCUCUUGCCGCUCGGCAUGAAUGAAGUUG